RNAcentral lists this ribosomal RNA (484 nucleotides) under uncultured bacterium. RNAcentral's name for it is "partial 16S ribosomal RNA". It matches the Rfam family "Bacterial small subunit ribosomal RNA", at positions 30 to 507 of the family's 1533-position model. The record is from RNAcentral.
AUUGAACGCUGGCGGCAGGCCUAACACAUGCAAGUCGAGCGGAUGAAGGGAGCUUGCUCCUGGAUUCAGCGGCGGACGGGUGAGUAAUGCCUAGGAAUCUGCCUGGUAGUGGGGGAUAACGUCCGGAAACGGGCGCUAAUACCGCAUACGUCCUGAGGGAGAAAGUGGGGGAUCUUCGGACCUCACGCUAUCAGAUGAGCCUAGGUCGGAUUAGCUAGUUGGUGGGGUAAAGGCCUACCAAGGCGACGAUCCGUAACUGGUCUGAGAGGAUGAUCAGUCACACUGGAACUGAGACACGGUCCAGACUCCGACGGGAGGCAGCAGUGGGGAAUAUUGGACGAUGGGCGAAAGCCUGAUCCAGCCAUGCCGCGUGUGUGAAGAAGGUCUUCGGAUGGUAAAGCACUUUAAGUUGGGAGGAAGGGCAGUAAGUUAAUACCUUGCUGUUUUGACGUUACCAACAGAAUAAGCACCGGCUAACUUCGUG